CUGAAUCGCGCGGUCCAGUUACUUAGUUCUCGCUUAUGUUGUCAAAAAAAGUUACUAAUUUUUAAAUAAUAUUAUAAAAAUUUGAUUUGUUUUUUAAAUUUUUAAUGGUAAAACCCCUCAACUAUGUUUACUUAAUGUAAAAACCCCUAAAUUAAAAUUUAUCUGUAGUAAUGGUAAUUAUGACCUGCUAGGGUUUAAUUCAUUAAAUAACGUUAGUUUGAGGAUUUUUUCAUUAAAUAUUUAGUUUAGGAGUUUUUAUCAAAAACAAACAUAGCUGAGGAGUUUUAAUGUUAAAAAUCAUAAUUGAAUUGUACGAAAUCAUCUCAAAAGCCUAAACAAAACCGAAAGUGAACUAGACACGAUUUUUCCAAAGUAUUAAUCGGUUUUCAGUACUGUUAACUAAACCGAGCCAAAAACAGAAAGAAACAAACACAUAUCACCAUAUGGUUCCUAUACUCUAUAUCCAAACAAUAACUAUCAGAAACUGAAAAAUUAAACCUGAAACGAACUCCCAGAACUACACAUAUUUAUAUUUUAGAAUUCUCAGAAACUGAAAAAUUAAACCUGAAACGAACUCCCAGAAC
RNAcentral lists this long non-coding RNA (584 nucleotides) under Brassica napus (rape). RNAcentral's name for it is "long non-coding RNA (BNAP_LNC013694)". The record is from RNAcentral. Lineage: Eukaryota; Viridiplantae; Streptophyta; Magnoliopsida; Brassicales; Brassicaceae.